UGUAGCAAGCUUUCGAGGAACAGUAGUGGUCGGUCGGAGCCGCCAAGUCAUCACUUGCGACGCAAUGAAUAAAUCCAGUAUAUCUUUGUUUGUGAGUCAACAAAAUAUAGUGAAGCACCACCCAGGUCCAGGCCCGUCUUCAGAACGGUUUUGUCAGACACUUACCAUGAUCUAAGGGCCGGGGCAGCCCUGUCCAACUAGUACGGGCAGGUCACAGUACCUAACGGGCCUGGCGUAAUAUCAUUUCUGGAGGCCGGCCAAAACUGAGUAGCCCCUGCCUGGGUCACUUUGUGAUGGUGGCUAACACCCACCUCCUAUACAAUGGACAUCAAGCUCUGUCAGCUGACCAUCCUGUGCCAGAGAGAGCUUCCUUUGCUCCUAACAAGAAUCUGAAUGCCGAGGAAUGGAAGGAAAGUAAUUAACAUAUGGAAUACUUGCCAGUAUACCGAUUUAGUCACUGCAAGGGCAAGACUGGAGAAUCCCUGGAUAAAUAAGUUAAUGAUGGAUCCAAUCCACGUCAUCAGUUCUUUUGGCUGCUCAAGGCAGAAUACCUCAUUGGCUGUUUCCUCUUUUAUAUACGAUUAUUAAUUUCAUUACAUUAGUAAUCUUAUUUCUUAAUUCAGUUUUCAUUACCUAUGUGACUUCAGUUUCCUAGUAUAAAUAAAUUAUUAAUAUACCGUAUAUAUCUAAGUUUAUUGAUUUAUCUAGAUAUAAGUAAUAAGUUAUAUGUUAUCUAUAGUCUAAGUAAAAGUGUAUUUUGAAACGUCUUUAAAAGAGUAACUUAAGUAGUAAAUAUUAAUGUACCUAUUUAUUUUUAUAUGCAACUUGAAAAAUUAGAAUUAAGUAACUAAUAACAUAGUAAAGUUAUCAAGUAUAUUUUGAUUUUAUUAAUUUUAUUAACAAACAUUUGAGUGAUUUUUAUUCCAUUCUAGUUUUUUUGCACUUAAAAAUUAUUUAACAUCUGUAUUUUUAUAAAAUAAAUUGAUACUUUUCA
This is a long non-coding RNA of Homalodisca vitripennis (glassy-winged sharpshooter), 994 nucleotides long. RefSeq lists it as uncharacterized. The record is from RefSeq and is a predicted model, not a curated record. Lineage: Eukaryota; Metazoa; Arthropoda; Insecta; Hemiptera; Cicadellidae. The transcript has 4 exons.